AGAAACCUAGUUGUGAAUUUGUCAAUUAAUCAAUUUAUAUCUGAUGAUUUUAUCAAUUCAACCACAAUAAACACAACAAACAAUGCAAUAAAUAAAGGACAUUAGAUAUACGCAACAAGCCCCAAAGUAGGGGGAAAAACCACGGGAUCAAAAGAAAAAUUAGCGGAUACAAGAGUUCCUCACAAUUCUAUCGUGAAUCCACGCAACCAGAUGUCGAACUCGUUGUCGAAUCUUUGUGAACCGCUACUAUGCUACUCUUCUCAUGUCUCGAACUCUUCAACCAACUCGGAGUCCACCA
This 298-nucleotide long non-coding RNA is filed under the name Actinidia chinensis (golden kiwifruit). Its description in RNAcentral is "long non-coding RNA (ACHI_LNC000479)". The record is from RNAcentral. Lineage: Eukaryota; Viridiplantae; Streptophyta; Magnoliopsida; Ericales; Actinidiaceae.